GAUUAGAGGCACGCGGGGGUGCAAGGCCCUCGCACUAUUCUCAAACUUUAAAUGGGCGAGAUCCCCGGCAUUCAGGCAUGAUGCCGGGGCUUCUUUCAUGGCUUGCAAUAAUGCCCCCCGAGCCGCUUUCAUGACGCUGGAUAUUGUGUGUUAAAGUGCAUUUGUCGUUGAAACACUCAAUACGUACACAGGUCUAGUACGAAUCAACCCGUACCCAGUGGGUCAUUUCUGGUAAGCAGGACUGAUAAUGAGGGAUGAACCUAACGUUGUGCUAAGGGGCCUAAACGAUAGCUAUCUCUUGAUACCAUUGGAAGGGUGUUGCUGGCUGAAGACAGCAGGACGGUGGUCAUGGAAGUUGACAUCCGCUAAGUAGUGUGUAAUAACUAAUCCUGCCGAAGCGAGCAACCCUGAAAAUGGAUGGCACUAAAGCUCUCUCCCGAUGCACAACCGUCGGGGCAGUAAAGGCUUGAGAAGGAAUUUUGUCAGAUCUAUAAGUCUCAAAGCCCCGACGAGUAGGGUGGCGUGCCGGUGUGCGUUGAAGGUCAUGACGUGAGUCAGGCUGGAGCCGCCGGUAGUGCAGAUCUUGGUGGUAGUAGCAAGUACUCUGGUGAACUAACCUGGAGCUGUGAGGUCUGGACCAGGGUUCCAUGUCAACAGUGAUUGAACAUGGGUGAGUCGAUCCUAAGCCGUCUGUGAAAGCAGUGACAUCCCGUCUUUGGGCGCACAAUCAAGCAAAGGAACAGGAACGCGCAAAACACAAAGUCUCUUGGUGUGUGUGUAUAUAUAUGCAGACGAUGUCUCCACCUCAAACGAACGCAAUCGAAAUGCAUACGUGUGUUGUCGUGUUUUUGUUUUUCUCUCUGUAUCGGCGAGCAAUUUCACAUAAUAAUAGAAAAGCACUACCGUUCCUACAUGUGAUAUUGCCUUACGAGAGAACUCUGACACACGCACAUAUAAAGUUAUGCAUGUGUUCUGUUGUUGGUGGCAUCAAGUAACGAAUCUGGAAACGCAUAUAAUACAACUCGUUGUGUUGUUGUUUCAUAAGGUGUUCUUUGCGUGCUAAACCCACGGAAUGGUUCUAUGUCUGGCGAAAGGGAAUGUGGACUUUGUUCUUUGACCAGUCCCGGCGCCCCCGACUGGCUUACGCCUGUCUAUUGUUCCACGUACGUGAAACCAGGCCGCAGUCGUCGGCAGUCGCCCGAGGAAGAGUUUUCUUUUCUGCUUAACGCUUGAGCACACUCCUGGAAACAAUUCGCCUGGCGAAAGGUUGUGCCUGGCGGCAGAGCGCCACGACUGUCGUGUGCGUCUCGGUGUUCCUGCCGAUCCGUGAAAACGCGGUCGAGGGCUCAUACUUGUAUGAUUUCUAAACGCCCGACAAGUUCGGGACGGACCGUACCCUAUAUCCGCAUCCGGUCUCCAAGGUUCGUAGCCUCUGCAGAGUCAGACACAUGUAGGUAAGGGAAGUCGGCAAACUCGAUCCGUAACUUCGGGAUAAGGAUUGGCUCUGAGGGCCGAGCUGGUCCGGGCCUUGCCUAUUAAGCAGUGCUUUUAGUGACCGGAGUUUUAGAAGUGCGAUGGGCCUUAGUAACUGUGUGUGCGGCUUCGGUCGUGCCGCACGAACGGGUCUUCCGCUUCGCUCCAACCACGAACGUCUGUGACGGCAAGGCUUUGGGCGGGUGCACAUUCAAAUGUUGGCCUCCAGCUUGUCUGGUUGGCGGCAGUGCACCGUCAGCUCAUACGGAUCCAGCGCCUAGCGGCUAGCUCAGAACUGUCAUGGACUAAGGGAAUCCGACUGUCUAAUUAAAACAAAGCGUCGUGACGGCCCCUAUUGGGUGUUGACGCGACGUGAUUUCUGCCCAGUGCUCUGAAUGUCAAAGUGAAGAAAUUCACCGAAGCGCGGGUUAACGGCGGGUGUAACUAUGACUCUCUUAAGGUAGCCAAAUGCCUCGUCAUCUAAUUAGUGACGCGCAUGAAUGGAUUAACGAGAUUCCCGCUGUCCCUAUCUACCGUCUGGUGAACCAACAGGCAAGGGAACGGACUUGCAUGAACACAGCGGGGAAAGAAGACCCUGUUGAGCUUGACUCUAGUCUGAAUCUGUACGGAGACAUCGGAGGUGCAGCAUAAGUGGGAGGGGCAGGUUCGCUUGCGGGCCACCGAAAAGUGAGAUACCACUACUCCCUUCGUCUCCGUACUCUACUCGGUUAAUGGGAGAAUUAUAUGUUGAAUGAUGGCGUCUGGGGCAGGGGACGGACGGGUAGCAUCCCAGGAUGCGUGGGUGUGUCUCGUAUGCUCAUGUUGUUGUUGCUGCCGUGUUCUGCACGUGUGGUGAUGAUGAUGUGUGGUGUGCUUGUUCAUUCGCGUGUUUAUGGGUGUUGCGUGUUUCGCGCCCAUUAAAACUGCUCUUGCCUCGUCCUGCCGAGGACAGAUUCAGGUGGGGAGUUUGACUGGGGCGGUACAUCUGUCAAACGAUAACGCAGGUGUCCUAAGGCCAGCUCAACGAGAUCAGAAAUCUCGUGUAGAGCAUAAGGGCCUAUGCUGGCUUGAUCUAGACUUUCAGUAUGAGUACGGACGGUGAAAGCCAGGCCUAUCGAUCCUUUUGAUGUUACUGAGUUUAUAGCAAGAGGUAUCAGAAAAGUUACCACAGGGAUAACUGGCUUGUGGCGGCCAAGCGUCCUUAGCGACGUCGCUUUUUGAUCCUUCGAUGUCGGCUCUUCCUAUCAUUGAGUUGCAACCGUCGCCAAGCGUCGGAUUGUUCACCCUUACUCAGGUAACGUGAGCUGGGGUUAGACCGUCGCGAGACAGGUUAGUUUUACCCUACUGUGGUCUGAUUGAGGGGCCCAUCACGGGAGAGCACCCCUCGAUGUCGUAUCGCUAUGGAAGUUGUGGCCAGUACGAGAGGAACGUCACAACCGAGCCUCUGGUCCCGGACUCGGUCGAGCGGCCGUUGGUCCCAGGCUACGCUCGUACAAGUAAGGCCGAACGCCUCUUAAGCCUGAAACCAUUCCAGAACAUGAGCGAUGCUACAGUGCAGUUGACUCGUUGUCCCUCGCAAGGACUCGUGGUCUAGGUGCUAGCACCCUAAGUGUAUAUGUAUCGUGCUCGCGUCCUUCGGGGCGUGUGUACGGCUUGUUGAGGUGUAAGUCUGAUGGAUACAAUGGUAGAGCUGACAGGC
This 3172-nucleotide ribosomal RNA is filed under the name Hirondellea gigas. Its description in RNAcentral is "eukaryotic LSU rRNA". It matches the Rfam family "Eukaryotic large subunit ribosomal RNA", at positions 1019 to 3401 of the family's 3401-position model. The record is from RNAcentral. Lineage: Eukaryota; Metazoa; Arthropoda; Malacostraca; Amphipoda; Lysianassidae.